This 292-nucleotide ribosomal RNA is filed under the name uncultured bacterium. RNAcentral's name for it is "partial 16S ribosomal RNA". It matches the Rfam family "Bacterial small subunit ribosomal RNA", at positions 505 to 796 of the family's 1533-position model. The record is from RNAcentral.
GUGCCAGCCGCCGCGGUAAUACAGAGGUCCCGAGCGUUGUUCGGAUUUAUUGGGCGUAAAGGGUGCGUAGGCGGCAGAGUAAGUUGGAUGUGAAAUCCUGGGGCUCAACCUCAGAAUUGCAUUCAAUACUGCUUUGCUAGGGCGCUGUAGAGGAGAUUGGAAUUUACGGUGUAGCAGUGAAAUGCGUAGAUAUCGUAAGGAAGACCAGUGGCGAAAGCGAAUCUCUGGGCAGCAGCCGACGCUGAGGCACGAAGGCCAGGGGAGCAAACGGGAUUAGAAACCCUGGUAGUCC